Long non-coding RNA from Oncorhynchus kisutch (coho salmon), 664 nucleotides. RefSeq lists it as uncharacterized. The record is from RefSeq and is a predicted model, not a curated record. The transcript has 3 exons. Lineage: Eukaryota; Metazoa; Chordata; Actinopteri; Salmoniformes; Salmonidae.
UAUUCAUACUGCAGUGUUCUUUGUCCUUGCUUAUGAUCAUCCCAUGUUUCUCUCCUCAGAUUCAGCAUAGCCUAUCCAUGAGUGUGCUUCUGUUGGAGGUGCUCCCACAAGCAGCUGAUAGACCUGUUCAGAGAGAAUGUGGAAGACUGCGUAGCCAUCAGCAGCCCAGGCCAUCCCGGCCAGCCCCUCAUACAGGUUAACACAAAGACGCAGGAUGGAGUUAACUGGUACAUUCCUGACUUGGUGGAAGAUGUUCAACUCCUCUUUUUUCAACAUGGAGUCCUUCCUGUCCUCCAUUUCGUCCUUCAUGAAGAUGAUUCCGGACCACAGGCCCAAAGACCUGGACAAGCUCAUCUGCCAAAGGGCCGGGUCCUCCACUUCCCCAUCCAAUCCCCCCAUGUCACAAGAUGUCGGCGUGACGUUACAGAUUUCGGUGUGACAUUGCAGAUGUUGAAGUGACGUUACAGAUUUCGGUGAUUAGUGGACCUGUGUGAAGUGUUUGGGUGAGAUGGUCAGAGGUGGCAACAUUAAGAAAACAUUGUUUGUUAUCUCUAUAAGUUCUUCAUCAGUGUAAGGAACAUAAACUCAGCAAAAAUGAAACAUCACUUUUUCUGGACCCUGUCUUUCAAAGAUAAUUCUUAAAAAUCCAACUUCACAGAUCUUC